GAGGCAUCAAUGCUUUGGUCACAGCUUUGGGAUGGGCAAAGCAAGAUAUGCAUGACUCUUGGCCAGUGAUUCUCAACCUCGGCUGCACAUUGGCAUCAACUGGGGAACCUUCAAAGCUCCUGGCAUGUGGGUUCCACCCUCAGAGAUUGUGAUGUAAUGCACUGACAGUCAAAUUGGGAACAACUGUAAAUUGGCUCAGUUCAUUCAUCUUUUACUGCUGUACAGAAGAUUUCAUUGUAUAAGUACUUCACAACUCAUGUACUGAUUUCUAGUUGAUGAACUGUUUCAAAUUUUUGUUAUUUCAAGCAAUUCUCUAAUGAAUGUUGUUGUACUUGUCUCCCCGUGAAUGUUCCUCUGGGGUAUAUACUGAGAAGUUUGAAUUGGCACAUCAAAGGUUGAGCAUCUUCACCUUUA
This 414-nucleotide long non-coding RNA is filed under the name Homo sapiens (human). RNAcentral's name for it is "HSALNT0359428". Lineage: Eukaryota; Metazoa; Chordata; Mammalia; Primates; Hominidae. The record is from RNAcentral.